CAUUAGGUGACUGAAAGUAAGUGAUGGUCUCUUAAACCAAUAAAUAGUAAAUAACAACUACUCCUAAUGA
Molecule: transfer RNA, 70 nt
Filed under: Tagasta indica
Lineage: Eukaryota; Metazoa; Arthropoda; Insecta; Orthoptera; Pyrgomorphidae
Also listed under: 1 other name
Description: tRNA-Lys
Source: RNAcentral